GACGGACGCUGGCGGCGUGCUUAACACAUGCAAGUCGAACGGAAAGGCCCUGCUUUUGUGGGGUGUUCGAGUGGCGAACGGGUGAGUAACACGUGAGUAACCUGCCCUUGACUUUGGGAUAACUUCAGGAAACUGGGGCUAAUACCGGAUAGGAGCUCCUGCUGCAUGGUGGGGGUUGGAAAGUUUCGGCGGUUGGGGAUGGACUCGCGGCUUAUCAGCUUGUUGGUGGGGUAGUGGCUUACCAAGGCUUUGACGGGUAGCCGGCCUGAGAGGGUGACCGGCCACAUUGGGACUGAGAUACGGCCCAGACUCCUACGGGAGGCAGCAGUGGGGAAUAUUGCACAAUGGGCGGAAGCCUGAUGCAGCAACGCCGCGUGCGGGAUGACGGCCUUCGGGUUGUAAACCGCUUUCGCCUGUGACGAAGCGUGAGUGACGGUAAUGGGUAAAGAAGCACCGGCUAACUACGUG
Molecule: ribosomal RNA, 468 nt
Filed under: uncultured bacterium
Lineage: Bacteria
Description: partial 16S ribosomal RNA
Rfam family: Bacterial small subunit ribosomal RNA
Source: RNAcentral